GGGGAUUUAGCUCAGCGGCAUAAGCGCCUGCCCUGUAAGCAGGCAGUCGUGAGUUCAAUCCCCG
RNAcentral lists this transfer RNA (64 nucleotides) under Cavia porcellus (domestic guinea pig). It matches the Rfam family "tRNA". From Rfam's summary of the family: Transfer RNA (tRNA) molecules are approximately 80 nucleotides in length. Their secondary structure includes four short double-helical elements and three loops (D, anti-codon, and T loops). Lineage: Eukaryota; Metazoa; Chordata; Mammalia; Rodentia; Caviidae. The record is from Rfam by way of RNAcentral.